Molecule: long non-coding RNA, 1549 nt
Organism: Syngnathoides biaculeatus (alligator pipefish)
Lineage: Eukaryota; Metazoa; Chordata; Actinopteri; Syngnathiformes; Syngnathidae
Exons: 8
Source: RefSeq, a predicted model, not a curated record
CUGUUUAAUUGUGUAUUUGUGUGUGUUGUGCGUGUGCAUCUGCAUGUGUAUGUGUGUGUUAAAAAAAAACAAAAAACUUACAAGUGGACCAGGUCGCCCUCUGAGGCCAAGUGGACCAGGAGGACCUUUCAAAGACAACUAGAAAAAGAAGCACAACAUGAUUUAAAAAGUGGCACACUGACUAAGGGUGGACUUGACUCCCUCCAAACACAAGGUAGGGCGGAGCCAGUACACCCAUCCCGUUGGGUAAACAGGGGGAUCCCCCUGACUGACCAUCCCCCGGGCCCAGGUUGUUUCCCCAGCCAAAAUGGAGCGUCCAACCACAAAGGGAGUGCAAGGGAGUCGCACCACUAACUUCAAUACCAAAUCCCCCCACCCUCACCCAGCGGAACCCAUCCCUGCCAUCACCCCUGAAAAGCAUGAGGGCCCUAACCAACUACCAGAGCCAGCAACCAAGUCCUAAUCCGGGACCGGCCUCCCACCCCCACGAGGAAGCAAGGUAACAGGGGCCAAGUCCCCAGAGGUUCACUGCGCAGGUCUGGAGCUCAAAGGCAGACAAGAAUCAAGGACCAAAGUUCACCAUUUUAAGAAAAAGACCAUGAUGUUUCCCGGGGGUCCCGGGACGCCAUCAACUCCGUUCAGACCCGGCUGUCCUGGGGGUCCCUAAGAAGUCCACAUACAUUUGACCGGUUCAGAACGAGCUUCGUCACUUUGACAACAAAAGAGAGAACAGCCCUGACCAGUUCUCCAAGGUCUCCUCGAGGUCCCACCAGCCCGGUGAUUCCAGGAGGGCCAGCUGGUCCCUAAACCCAACACAAACGUGACAAAUAUGGAUCCUCACCUUGUGAUUGUCGACGGCCCAUUGAGCAAAAAAGACGUCACUCAUCGUGGCAGCACCGUAGAGCCAUCGUGAUGUCACUGAGGCGUGUAACAUCACACAAGUAAAAUGUCCACAAAUGCCCUUGGACUCUGGACAGCCCUGGUUUAAGGAUUCUGGCUAGCCAACCUCAAAGACGUCUUGGUCCAGCAGACGUGUUCCAAACACGGUGACGCCGUCGGUGCUGACGUGCGGUUGGUGUCCCCGCAACAAUCCUAAAGUCUCAAUCUUGAUGCAGUCCAGGUAGAGAGUGACCAGCUGGCCCUUCACACUGUAGGCCACUCGGUGCCACCUGGUGGAAGGAGGAAGACAGCGCGGUAAAGUCAACAAACAUGGCGGGCUGCGGGGGCAUCGUAUGAAUGGACACAUGUGACACAAACCUGAGGGUCAUACAUGGACAGCAGAAAGACCUGUGAGCCCUUCACAGCUCGAACUGUGGUCAUCAGUGAGAAGUCUUCUGGGAAUGGCGAAUCUAAGCCGAGGAACACGUGAAAACUGAGGUCAUUUAUCAAGAAUGUUCCUGUUCACGACCCACCGGAAAGGUCUGGAUCCUCUCGGCCCAUCCUGCUGGUGCACAGUCCGGCCUCCAGGGACACCCCCUCCAUGUCCUCAGAAAGCUCCAGAACCUUCAAGAUGUCGAUGGGACUGGCUGCCAAAAGACAAGACAAAAAA